Molecule: ribosomal RNA, 482 nt
Filed under: uncultured bacterium
Lineage: Bacteria
Description: bacterial SSU rRNA
Rfam family: Bacterial small subunit ribosomal RNA
Source: RNAcentral
GAUGAACGCUGGCGGCGUGCUUAACACAUGCAAGUCGAACGAAGCACUUUAUUAUGAUUUCUUCGGAAUGACGAUUUAGUGACUGAGUGGCGGACGGGUGAGUAACGCGUGAGGAACCUGCCUCAAAGAGGGGGACAACAGUUGGAAACGACUGCUAAUACCGCAUAAGCCCACGACCCGGCAUCGGGAAGAGGGAAAAGGAGCAAUCCGCUUUGAGAUGGCCUCGCGUCCGAUUAGCUAGUUGGUGAGGUAACGGCCCACCAAGGCGACGAUCGGUAGCCGGACUGAGAGGUUGAACGGCCACAUUGGGACUGAGACACGGCCCAGACUCCUACGGGAGGCAGCAGUGGGGAAUAUUGCACAAUGGGGGAAACCCUGAUGCAGCGACGCCGCGUGGAGGAAGAAGGUCUUCGGAUUGUAAACUCCUGUUGUUGAGGAAGAUAAUGACGGUACUCAACAAGGAAGUGACGGCUAACUACGUG